Molecule: RNA transcript, 4901 nt
Organism: Brachypodium distachyon (stiff brome)
Lineage: Eukaryota; Viridiplantae; Streptophyta; Magnoliopsida; Poales; Poaceae
Gene name: disease resistance protein RGA2-like
Exons: 3
Source: RefSeq, a predicted model, not a curated record
CUUGUACCUUUUUGUUCUUUGCCUCCUUCCAAACUGCGUCGUCUUGGUUCUGCUCCCUCCCGUUGACCAUCGCUCAAGAACUGGUUCUGCCGGAUCUGAUGGAGCCGGCCGAAGUUGAUUCCCUGGAGGCCGCGAUUGGAUGGCUGGUGCGAACCAUCAUCGCAGUCCUCCUAACGGACAAGAUGGAUGUGUGGAUUCGAGGAGUCAAGCUUGACGAUGACGUCAAGAAACUGAGGUUCGAGAUCCGGAGAGUCGGGAUGGUGGUCGCUACUGUGAAGGGGAGGGCGACCGGGAACGAGCAGCUGGGUGAAUCUCUGGCUAUUCUCAAGGAGCUGCUCUACGACGCCGACGAUGUUGUCGACGAGCUAGACUACUACAGGCUUCAACAGCAGGUUGAAGGAGACACAGUUACAAGGGACGAUGAGAUAUCGAGGGGCGACGCUGAUACACCGAAUAGCAGUGUUGGCAAAUUACGGUCCGCGGUAUGGCAACACUUUAUAAUCACAGAAAAAAUUGAAGGAAGGCCGGUCAGAGCAAAAUGCAGUCUCUGUUCAGAAGAGUUUGCGUGCGAUUCAGUGGCGAACGGGACAUCAUCUAUGAGAAAGCAUUUAAAGAACGCGCAUUCCGUAAUUUGCGAAAAUGGAAAGCGUUCACGAAACCAUUCAAGCACGGGUGAUGAUGCUACUGAAAAUGCGACGCCUAUUGUCAUUGGCAGCUCAUCCAGGGGAAAAAGAAAGAGAACAAAUGAGGACUCGGCACAAAUCACCGCAGCUAACAAACGCACCCAUUGGGACAAGGCGGAAAUAUCCAAUAGGAUAAAGGAAAUAACUAGUCAGUUAAAAGACAUCCGAGAGGAAGUGAGUGAGGUUCUCAAGCUGCAUGGAUCAGACCUUGCUUCAAGUUCAAAUAACCACCGGAGUACAGCCUCAGAUCAGCACCUGAGAACAUCAAGUCUUGUUCAAAGGAAAGUGUAUGGGAGAGAUGGAGAAAAGAACAACAUCAUAAAGAUGAUAACGCAAGACAAAUCUAAUGGUGUAACUGUUCUGCCUAUUGUAGGCAUUGCAGGUGUUGGGAAGACAACUCUUGCUCAACUCGUGUACAACGAUCCCAUCGUGGAAAGUAAAUUUGACACCAAGAUAUGGAUUUGGGUGUCUCGCAACUUUGACAAAGUGAAGCUCACAAGGGAGAUGCUACAUUUUGUUUCCCAAGAAACGUAUGAAGAAAUAAACUGCUAUGUGAAGCUUCAGGAGAUCUUGAAGAGUAAUGCCAACUCAAAGAGGCUUCUACUUAUUUUAGAUGAUGUCUGGGAUGACAUGGACGAUUGCCGUUGGAACCAACUGUUGGCUCCUAUUAAGUCUGACAGUGCAAAUGACAACAAUGUGAUUCUGGUGACAACUAGAAACAUGACUGUUGCAAAAAUGAUUAGAACAGUUGGGCCAAUUCAGUUAGGUGCUUUGGAAAAUGAUGAUUCCUGGUUAUUGUUCAAAUCUUGUGCAUUUCGUGAUUGGAACUAUGAAGGUCCUGAAAUUCUAAGCAGUAUUGGACGACAAAUAGCAGAUAAGUUAAAGGGUAACCCAUUAGCAGUAGUAACUGCAGGGGCACUAUUAAGAGAUCAUCUCACCGUUGAUCAUUGGAGUAACAUUCUCAAGAAAGAAAACUGGAAAUCGCUGGGACUCAGUGGAGGUAUCAUGCCUGCUUUGAAGCUUAGCUAUGAUCAGCUUCCGUACCAUUUACAGAAAUGCUUCUCAUAUUGUUCUAUAUUCCCUGAUAAAUAUAAGUUUCUCGGUAAGGAUUUGGUCUAUAUUUAGAUUUCUCAGGGAUUUGUGAAUACCCAUUUAAGUAAGAGAUUGGAGGAGACAGGAUGGGAAUAUCUGAUUGAUUUGGCAAACCUGGGAUUCUUUCAGCAAAUCUUAAAAGAAGAAGAAGAAGAUGAUGAUAAUGAAGAUGGUGAAGGAGAAGGAGAAGAAUCCUCUCUAGGGAGUCAAAUUUUCUAUUCUAUGUGUGAUGUCAUGCACGAUUUUGCGAGGAUAAUUUCAAGGACUGAGUGUGCAACCAUAGAUGGUCUAGAUUGCGAUAAGAUUUUGCCUACUAUCCAGCAUUUGUCAAUAGUAACUGAUUCUGCAUACAACAAAGAUUGGCAAGGGAACAUUCCUCGUAACACAAUGUUUGAAGAAAAUUUGAGAAAUAAAGUUACAUCAGUGAGAAAAUUGAGGACACUAGUUUUACUUGGGGACUACGACUCUUACUUCUUACAAUUAUUCCAUGAGAUAUUCCAAACGGCACAUAAUUUACGCCUGCUUCACACUUCUGCAACAUCCGCUGAUUUUAAUUCCUCCCGGUGUAGCUUGGUAAAUACUACACAUCUUCGCUAUCUACAACAUGGGUCUGGUAAGGUGAAUGAGUCUUUUGCUCACGAUUUGAGCAAGCUGUACCAUCUUCAAGUAUUAGAUGUCCGCUCAGACACUUAUUCUCCUACUAUACCUGAUGGUAUUAAUAAUCUUGUUAGCCUGCGGCAUCUGGUUCUACACAAGGGAGUGUACCCUUUCAUUGCUAGCAUCGGUAAGCUGACAUCUCUUCAGGAACUAUAUGGUUUUAAGGUUCAGAAUUCUAGUGGCUUUGAGAUAACACAACUCCAAUCGAUGAACGGGCUUGUACAGCUUGAGGUGUCUCAACUUGAUACUGUGCAAACUCGGGAAGAGGCUUAUGGGGCAGGACUGAGAAACAAAGGACACUUAGAAAACCUUCACUUGUCCUGGAAGGAUACCUUGUCAGAUAAUGAAUCUCCUGCGGACACAGCAAGGAAACAUAGCGAAGUCCUUGAGGGUCUUCAACCACAUAAGAACUUAAAGGAUCUGCAGAUAUCUGGGUACAGUGGCACCUCCCCAACUUGGCUUGCCAGCAAUAUGUCAGCUACCUCCUUGCAGACGCUUCAUCUAGAUUGCUGUGGAGAAUGGAAAAUACUUCCAUCUCUGGAAAGGUUUCCUUGUCUGAGAAUGCUGAAGUUGAGCAACCUGUGGAAAGUAACAGAAAUAUUGGUUCCUUCAUUGGAGGAGCUAGUUUUAGUUCGCAUGCCAAAGCUGCAGAGAUGUACAUGCACUUCGGUGGAGGGUCUCAACUCUAGCUUAAGAACACUGCGGAUCAAGAAUUGUGAAAAACUGGAAGUGUUUGAUCUGUUUGAGAACGGCGAUAAAUUCAUAAUUGAGCAGAGGUCAUGGCUGUCUGGUGUUAGGGAACUAAUCCUGAUUGAUUGCCCUCUGUUGGGAGUGUUGAACCGUCUUCCACCUUCAGCAACCUUUUCCGAGUUACAAAUCAGUGGAGUUUCAACACUUCCGAGAAUGAAGGGAUCUUAUGAAAAGUUACACGUUUUGCUUCCUCGUGUUGAGUCAUUUUCUGAGAAGGAUACCUCUUCUGAGCGGAAGAGUGUUGGAGAGGUUUUGGCAUUCCAUAAUCUCAGGAGCCUCAAAUUUCUGAGCAUAAAUGGUUACGGAGAGAAUUCAAUGUCUAUUUUCUUCAAAGAUUUAAGCCAUCUCGUCUCUUUAAAGAGUUUGAAAAUUGAAUCAUGCGAAAUUGUUAUGCCAGAGCCUACCCGUGAAGAUAUGCCAGCUGCAAAUUGCAAGGUCUUCCCGUAUCUUCAGAGUCUCGUGAUUAAAUCAUGUGGAAUAACGGGGAAGGGACUAUCUCUGAUGCUGCAACAUUCACCAGUUCUUGAGAAAUUGGUUUUGUUUGAUAGCUCGGAUAUAACACUCUUAUCGAUAGAAGAGGAAGGAAACAGUCUAUCAAAUCUUACAUCAGACAGGGAGCCACAAGACGAGCUAUUUUUGCACAUUCCAUUUAAUCUCAGCUCCAGUCUCAAGAAGAUAACUAUUGAGGACUGCCCUUCUCUAAGAUUUAACGGGAGCAAGAAAGGCUUCUCUGGAUUUACUAUCCUUGAGAAGCUAAAUAUCUGGGGAUGCCCCGAGCUGCUCUUGUCUUUGGUGCUUAAAAGACGGAAGUGAUGACCAGGCAAACGGAAGAUGGCUCCUCCCAGAAUCACUCGGAGAACUUGAUAUCAGUGACUAUCCCGAAGAAACACUGCAGCCCUGCUUUCCAAGUAAUCUCACCAGCCUCAAGAAGUUGGGACUGAGCAGCGCAUAUUUGAAAUCUCUACAGCUGCACUCAUGCACGGCACUGGAAGAGUUGGAAAUUAAACCCUGUUAUUUGCUCAGCAUAGUAGAGGGCAUGCAGUCCCUUGGCAGCCUCCGACAUUUGACAGUACUUGGCUGCCCUUGCUUGCCAUCGUAUUUGGAGAGCUUUUCAAGGCAGUGCAAUGAGCUGCUCCCUCGACUGGGAACGCUUGUGAUCGGUGACCCAGCUGUCCUCACCACGUUAUCCUGCAAGCGCCUCACCUCCCUGCACAGCCUACAACUUAGGCUUCGGUGGAUGCUAGUGACGAGACUAACGGAGGAGCAAGAGAGAGCGCUUGUGCUCCUCAAGUCCCUGCAAGAGCUCACCUUUUACGUCUGUCCUCAUCUCAUGCAUCUUCCCGCGGGGCUGCACACCCUUCCUUCCCUCAAGAGGUUGAAGAUUGAUUAUUGUCCGAGCAUCUUAAGGCUGCCGGAAACAGGCCUCCCAGUUUCGCUGGAAGAACUGGAACUCAAAUGUUGCAGCAACGAGCUACGUGAUCGAUGCAUGCCUCCAGCAACAAGCAAGCUAAAGGUCAAAAUCAUUCCAAGACCUUUGAAUUGAUUACUGUAUGCCUUGUCAAGCACAUGUUUGUGGCACAAGUUGGCCUCAAAAGGCAACGAAGUGAUAUAUGCUGUAAAGGUGCUGUAAAAUUGUAAUACACUAGUACUUGUGACCAGCAAUUUCUUUACAUCUUGUUUGCUCGUUCGGUUAACUAUGGAGUAACAAGCAUCAUAUCC